UCAAACAUGCGAUUCUUCGCUGCACCUCCAUAUACACACAGAUCGAAAUAGAGAGGCGAUGAAAGAGAGAGAGAGGCGACGAGGAAACGGUGAAAGAAGCAGAGAAAGAGAGAUGGAAAUAGAGGGAGGAGAUGAGGCCUGGGACACGGAGAGAGAAACUGAGAAGAGAAAGAGGCAAAACACAAUUACUGUCAGAUUUUCCGCCGCCAUCCGUUCCCUCGCCAGACUCAGAACACCGAAACCGCAGGCACACACAGGAAUUGAGAUUGAGGAAGAGAAAUCUAAGUGCCAUUAACUCCGUUCAGGCCAUUUACCUACCAUCAUCAGAUCGUCGAAAUUGCCACCGAUCAAGCAUAGAUUGUUUCAUUAGCUUCGAAAUUCCUAUCCACAAUCCAUCUUUUCUGAAUAGCAAAGAGUAGAUGAGAGAAUCAAAAGCGUGUCCAACAAAAGUUACUAGAAGAUCUAGGAAGCAAAAAACUCAUUCCAAGUUUGCUGUAUUGGACAAGGGAACCGAAAUCUAUUCUAAUUUAAAAGAGAUCAGUGACUCAAAUAUGUUGGCGCCACACCAAAUCCAAGAUAAGGUUCUAAAGGAUGGCUAGAAGAAGAACGAGAAGACUAUAUCUAGAUAUCUCUAAUAGCAACCUCUGAGGACAACCAUCCAAAGGCAAGAUGGAAUGUGGGGUACUGCUGCAAGUGUUGCCUUGAAAAGAAAAGACUGCAGUUGAUUCAAAUGCUCCAGCUACUGCUUGCAGUGCACACAAGACUGAG
Quercus robur (English oak) is the source of this 768-nucleotide long non-coding RNA. RefSeq lists it as uncharacterized. The transcript is spliced from 4 exons. Lineage: Eukaryota; Viridiplantae; Streptophyta; Magnoliopsida; Fagales; Fagaceae. The record is from RefSeq and is a predicted model, not a curated record.